Molecule: non-coding RNA, 27 nt
Filed under: Homo sapiens (human)
Lineage: Eukaryota; Metazoa; Chordata; Mammalia; Primates; Hominidae
Source: RNAcentral
UGAUUUGAGUCAUCUCACUGCACAGCA